RNAcentral lists this ribosomal RNA (467 nucleotides) under uncultured bacterium. Its description in RNAcentral is "partial 16S ribosomal RNA". It matches the Rfam family "Bacterial small subunit ribosomal RNA", at positions 28 to 507 of the family's 1533-position model. The record is from RNAcentral.
GAUGAACGCUGGCGGCGUGCUUAACACAUGCAAGUCGAACGGAAAGGCCCAAGCUUGCUUGGGUACUCGAGUGGCGAACGGGUGAGUAACACGUGGGUGAUCUGCCCUGCACUUCGGGAUAAGCCUGGGAAACUGGGUCUAAUACCGGAUAGGACCACUUCCUGGAUGUUGUGGUGGAAAGAUUUUUCGGGGUGGGAUUAGCUCGCGGCCUAUCAGCUUGUUUGGGGGGUAAUGGCCUACCAAGGCGUCGACGGGUAGCCGGCCUGGGAGGGGGUACGGCCACAUUGGGGCUGGGGUACGGCCCAGACUCCUACGGGGGGCAGCAGGGGGGAAUAUUGCACAAUGGGCGCAAGCCUGAUGCAGCGACGCCGCGGUGGGGAUGACGGGCUUCGGGUUGUAAACUCCUUUCGCUAGGGACGAAGCGUUUUGUGACGGUACCUGGUGAAGAAGCACCGGCUAACUACGUG